Molecule: ribosomal RNA, 468 nt
Filed under: uncultured bacterium
Lineage: Bacteria
Description: partial 16S ribosomal RNA
Rfam family: Bacterial small subunit ribosomal RNA
Source: RNAcentral
GACGAACGCUGGCGGCGUGCUUAACACAUGCAAGUCGAACGGAAAGGCCCUGCUUUUGUGGGGUGCUCGAGUGGCGAACGGGUGAGUAACACGUGAGUAACCUGCCCUUGACUUUGGGAUAACUUCAGGAAACUGGGGCUAAUACCGGAUAGGAGCUCCUGCUGCAUGGUGGGGGUUGGAAAGUUUCGGCGGUUGGGGAUGGAUUCGCGGCUUAUCAGCUUGUUGGUGGGGUAGUGGCUUACCAAGGCUUUGACGGGUAGCCGGCCUGAGAGGGUGACCGGCCACAUUGGGACUGAGAUACGGCCCAGACUCCUACGGGAGGCAGCAGUGGGGAAUAUUGCACAAUGGGCGGAAGCCUGAUGCAGCAACGCCGCGUGCGGGAUGACGGCCUUCGGGUUGUAAACCGCUUUCGCCUGUGACGAAGCGUGGGUGACGGUAAUGGGUAAAGAAGCACCGGCUAACUACGUG